Molecule: long non-coding RNA, 2626 nt
Organism: Myiozetetes cayanensis
Lineage: Eukaryota; Metazoa; Chordata; Aves; Passeriformes; Tyrannidae
Exons: 3
Source: RefSeq, a predicted model, not a curated record
AGUGGGAGGAAGGGGAAAAAAACAAUUUUUUUUUUUUCCCCCUGCUGGACAGUGGGUCUCUUUGAGCCUGUUGUCAUGUUCUCUGGCCGCAAUUAUAAAUAAACUUUCCUUCUGCAGAAAGGAAGUAGCUGAGACUCAGGGUCUGAAGCUCGUGAAUGGCUAGCAGAUACCCUGGCCUUUGCUGGCCCAUGCCAAAGGGCAGAGGAGGUGGUGGUCUAGCCCUGCACUGAGAGAGUGUGCGUGCAGCAUGCUGCGUGUCUGAGGCAAAACAACUGGCCUGGGAACACCUUCUCUUCUGUCAACUAUAUCCACCUGGUCCAAGGCAGUUUCUUUCUAAAGCUCAUCUCCCCAAAGGCUUCAAAUGCUCAUGUUCACUUAUUUUAUAUUUUUUUAAUUCUUUCCCUACCACUCCUGUGGUCUCAUAUUUAAAAAGGAAAGCUACUCUUGGUGGGCUGAGAUCACAGGUGCCAUCAUGGAGGCCCAUGGUGAGCAUCAGUAAAAAACAAGAGAGAAUUGAGUCCCCAGGCAAGAUUACAGUGCUGGUACACAACUGUGUGUAUCACUGUCCAAGCCUUUUGCAACAUCUGCCACAGCAAAGGUGUUGCAUGCAAAGUCCUUAAAAUAUUGGCCACAGUCAUUAUUGUUAUGUGCAUAUAGAUUUUAGCUUAUUUUAUGACUGUGCAUGUGUGUGUGCAAUAUAUGUGUGCAUGCACAUACACAUUUAUAUCUAUGUAUACAUUCACUAGUGAUGGGCCUGUUAAACUGAGAAGUGAUUUCUCUCCUACAGAUAGAUGUAUAACAUACACAUAGUGAUGAUACCUAAGGUGUUUGGGAGUGGGGAUGCAUAAUAUCUUAUAAACUUGAAGUUUUUAUCAGGCAGAGCAGAUUACUUUAAGCGUUCAAUUUCUCAGCGAUCCAAUUUUAUUAGGAUUUACUAUCAUUUGUGCUGUGCAUCCCUGGGGAAAUAAUGCUUUGAUUAAUGUAAUCCUGGGCUGGGAUCCGCCACAUGCCCCUCUCCCAAGAGAUGGGCCCUGUUUGACAAACAAAAACAGAGCAGCAACUAUUGCAAUCUGCACUCACCUUUUGAAAGCACACAGGCCAGUAAGCAGACACACACACAAAAUAUUACCCUCUCCUCCCCCCAACCCCAAAUACAAUAGCAGCAUCUCAAAACAAUGUGCACUUAUUUAUUUACACACAAUGCCUCUGAUUUAGUGUGGUCUGUACAGUCCAGCCCUCAAAUGCACAGUGGUAGCCCAAAAAGGAUGCUGCUCUGUCCCCCACUGAGAAGCUGAAACAUCUCUGGGAAGCUCAAUGUUUCUCUGUAUUUCAGGCUCUCCUUGGGCUCCCAACAUUUCUGCCUCUUUGUUUCCUACUCCAGGCCUUGCUGCAAACCGAUUUUAAGUCUACUCCUUCAAACCACUGGCAGCCCAUGGGCCCAAGAAGCUGACCUUGCAAGGCUCCCUGGCACCCACCUGGGGGGGACAUGUGCCUCUCUAAACGGGCCGUGAACCCGAAAUGCUUUGUUAUGCUCAAAACAAUAAAUAAGGUUCCGAAUGAAGCCUUCAGAAUAAAAGAUUGGUUAGUGUAAUAUCCCUAGUGCAGCUAUCAAGGUGGUCAUAAGAACUAUGAACUACAGCAUGGGCAAGCUUGAAAAACCCAGAGCAGCUCACAUUAGCCAAGAACGCUACAUAUCUGGAAGCCAGUCAACUUCACGUUUGCAGCUGACUGCCGUAUUAUGCACGAAUGUGUUUUACAUAUAGCAGACUGUAUACGGAAUAUGUCUUUAUGUUUAACAUUUUAAUUUGUAAAUGCUAAUUAGGCAGUUGGUCUCCACGGUUAUAUUAGUACAUACCUAAUCAUUUCCCACUAUAAGUAAAUGAAUACUAAAUACGGUAAACACUUUCAUUUCCCUACCUUCAAGACAGUAUUGCUUCUACAUCCAUUUUCCAAAGGCGUUCAUUCGGACAAAUAGGUAUUUAUUAAAAGAAGGAUGUGAAAAAAAUGCUCCCUGUAGCACUCUUACAAUUGGGGUGCCGCUGCAGGCAUGGAGCCAACAAUCUUGGCCGGACCGGACUCUUCCGAAGGCAGCCAGCAAAGUUUAAGUUUUGCCGAAUUAACUUGUUGCUCGUUUUAGCGUUAGUUUUUCUCUUCUUUUGCGGUACCUCGCAGGUUUCUGCUGCUGCUAACUAGCGCGGGUGUACAGCAGAACAGCCGCACUGCUAACUCCUGUUUUGUUUAAAAUAUAACGCAGGUUACGCUUGGAGGGUUGGGGGGAGGGGGGACAGAGGAAAGCUGGAGAGAAAUCCGCUCAAUCCCGACCCCGGGAUGCUGAGCUUUGCUGUGGUCUUUCAACUCCAAAACCCUUCAGAGGUGAAAAAAAUGUUCACUAAACUACGGCAAAUCUCAAUCAUGCUACCACGUUUCUGAAGAGAACUGCGCUCUGGAAUGUGUUUUACUAGUCUGGAAUAUUGCUAGUGCUUACUGUGCCAAACGCGGUAGGUGGAAAGUUUUGUUCAUGUAAAUAUCUCAACCCUUGUCCCUCAAGGUCUCUACACACGGAGACCUGACUCCGUUUUCCAAAUGAAGACCCGCGAACACUUCAAAUGAAAAGUUUAAUUUCUUA